This 1183-nucleotide long non-coding RNA is filed under the name Musa acuminata (dwarf banana). RNAcentral describes it as "long non-coding RNA (MACU_LNC005196)". The record is from RNAcentral. Lineage: Eukaryota; Viridiplantae; Streptophyta; Magnoliopsida; Zingiberales; Musaceae.
CAAAUGAACCAGCAUCCUUUGGUGCUUGGGCAACUUCGCCCUAAGACACUACUUGGUGGAAGCUGACGUACUACUUUGCACCAAGGGAGAGGAAACUUCCUGGAGAUCUUGUAGCAGCUGCCGCAGGGGCUUCUCCAUGUCGAGCAGGGCUGGAAGAUGUGGACUGCCCAGCAACCUCGUUGACCACGGUACGUUCUUUUCGUUUAUUGGGUCACCAGAUAUCCAAGUGACUGCCAUCGUACAAUUUGAGUGGGUUCAAGACAUCACAGUAACUCAGAACAAAGGUAGUUCAACUCCAUCAUGUUUCAUAAGCCAAGACUCUGCAUCUCCUGUCUGUUCUCCCUGUUCUUGUGAUUUUUUUGCAACAAAUUCAACCAAAUUAGAUCGUGAGUUUGAUCCAGAAUAUGGAAGGAAAGCUAAUGUCCCACUACAUUAGCAUGCAUGUUCUGUAAGCUCUAGAUCAUGAUGAUACAUCAACUUUUUCUUUUCUUUUGUUUCUGAACAUUGGUGACUACAUCAUGAACUGUGGUUAUUAAAGAGUCUUAUCUGUACAAGGACUCUCCCAGAUUUUUCUCCAGCAAUAGCAACCGGAAUCUCAACUCUUUCUUUGAUCGAAUGCUUCUUUCCAUAACUAUCAUGCCCGAGACCUGUGUGUGAAUUCCGUCAAGACUUGGGUCUAUGUGUUGUGAAAGCAGCUCGCGAUGGUUGCGCAAUUAGCUCCCAGCUUCUGAGAUGCUCUGAAGCGAAGGACGCCAAUGGCGGCCUCUUGCCGCCACCUGCGUUCUGCUCUUUUGCCGAUCCCUCUCCUGAUUUGUUGCCUGGAACAUGUCAUGGAGUAUUGACUGCAUGAUUCUACCUGAACUCUAUUUGGAUUUUGUAGAGAAAAGACUAUACUUUCUGUUUUAAGCUCGACUCUACUUGUGUGUGUUUUUUGCUCUGUUUUAUGAUUCAGCAUAUGUAGGAAUUGAUUGAAGUAUACUACUUUGGAAUUCAUAUAUCAUGAUCGAUCACAAUAGAUGUGUACCUGAUGUGUGGCAUCUGAAUCCUCCUCUGUUUCCUCUCGAGCAGGAUCUGUACACUGAUCGUUUGUUCCAUGCUGCUGCUGCUGCUGCUGCUGUUGUUGUUGUUUUCUGAUCGAUUCAGCCUGGGUUUUCUUGAGCUUCUCAUACUUCCUUUGCCUCAG